RNAcentral lists this transfer RNA (75 nucleotides) under Fusobacteriaceae bacterium. RNAcentral describes it as "tRNA-Glu". It matches the Rfam family "tRNA". From Rfam's summary of the family: Transfer RNA (tRNA) molecules are approximately 80 nucleotides in length. The record is from RNAcentral. Lineage: Bacteria; Fusobacteriati; Fusobacteriota; Fusobacteriia; Fusobacteriales; Fusobacteriaceae.
GGCCCCAUAGUCUAGCGAUUAGGACGGCAGAUUCUCACUCUGCAGACAGGGGUUUGACUCCCCUUGGGGCUACCA